AAUUCCAGCUCCAAUAGUGUAUAUUAGAGUUGUCACAGUUAAAAAUCUUGUAGUUGGAUUUCUGUCGGUGCUGUUUCUUUCCCCCUGUAGGGGUGAGGAUGGGGAUUGGUUUCCACAUUUUUCUGUAGCCUUAUACCCACUUAAUGGGGGGUAUUUGGUGUUUCGGAACUUUUACUUUGAGAAAAAUAGAGUGUUUCAAGCAGGCUUGUCGCCUUGAAUACUGCAGCAUGGAAUAAUAAGAUAGGACCUUGGUUCUAUUUUGUUGGUUUCUAGGACUAAGGUAAUGAUUAAUAGGGACAGUUGGGGGCAUUCGUAUUUAACUGUCAGAGGUGAAAUUCUUAGAUUUGUUAAAGACGAACUACUGCGAAAGCAUUUGCCAAGGAUGUUUUCAUUAAUCAAGAACGACAGUAGGGGGUUUGAAGACGAUUAGAUACCGUCGUAAUCUCUACCAUAAACUAUGCCGACUAGAGAUAGGGAAACGCCUACCUUGGCUUCUCCUG
Molecule: ribosomal RNA, 500 nt
Filed under: Eimeria striata
Lineage: Eukaryota; Apicomplexa; Conoidasida; Eucoccidiorida; Eimeriidae
Description: SSU rRNA
Rfam family: Eukaryotic small subunit ribosomal RNA
Source: RNAcentral